This 669-nucleotide ribosomal RNA is filed under the name uncultured crenarchaeote. RNAcentral's name for it is "bacterial SSU rRNA". It matches the Rfam family "Archaeal small subunit ribosomal RNA", at positions 699 to 1356 of the family's 1478-position model. The record is from RNAcentral. Lineage: Archaea; Thermoproteati; Thermoproteota.
GAGGGACGAAAGCCAGGGGAGCGAACCGGAUUAGAUACCCGGGUAGUCCUGGCCGUAAACGAUGCAUACUAGGCAAUGGUGCGGCCAUGAGCCGCAUCAGUACCGUAGGGAAACCGUUAAGUGUGCCGCCUGGGAAGUACGGUCGGCAAGGGCGUAAAAACUGUGAAAGCGAACUUGGUCGGGCGGAGCACCAAACAAUGGGGUGAAGCCUGCGGUUCAAUUGGACUCAACGCCGGGAAACUUACCAGGGGAGACAGCAGAAUGACAGUCAGGUUGACGACCUUACUCGACGAGCUGAGAGGAGGUGCAUGGCCGUCGCCAGUUCGUGCUGUGAGGUAUCCUGUUAAGUCAGGCAACGAACGAGAUCCGCGCCUUUAUUUGCCAUCAAGAAGUCACGACUUCGUUGGGAACUCUAAAGGGACCGCCGUCGAUAAGACGGAGGAAGGAGCGGGCAAAGGCAGGUCAGUAUGCCCCGAAACCCCUGGGCUACACGCGGGCUGCAAUGGUGCGAACAAUGGGCUGUAACUCCGAAAGGAGAAACCAAUCCCGAAAUCGCAUCUCAGUGGGGAUUGUCGACUGUAACUCGUUGACAUGAACGUGGAAUCCCUAGUAAUCGCGUGUCACCAUCGCGCGGGAAUACGACUCUGCUCUGCACUCACGCGCCGUCAA